This 291-nucleotide ribosomal RNA is filed under the name Orbulina universa. Its description in RNAcentral is "partial 18S ribosomal RNA". Lineage: Eukaryota; Foraminifera; Rotaliida; Globigerinidae. The record is from RNAcentral.
GCUCUUUUAUGAUUAUGUGAUAGGUGGUGCAUGGCCGUUCUUAGUUCGUGGAGUGAUCUGUCUGCUUAAUUGCGUUUCAAAACAACUGAUACACAGAGUCUUGGCACAGUUCAGUUUAAUGGCGUCGAGUAUCUUUGAUUUCGACAGUAGUCCACUCGGUUCGCCAGGGUCUCUUUUGAACGCAACGGACGUGAUCGCAACCCUUUGUUGAGUGAUGUCAGCACUCUACGUCUAUCCUAGCUCGUUGAUCGCAAGUGAGAGUUGGGUGGGCAAACUCAGGGGACAGCUUCA